RNAcentral lists this ribosomal RNA (253 nucleotides) under uncultured bacterium. RNAcentral's name for it is "partial 16S ribosomal RNA". It matches the Rfam family "Bacterial small subunit ribosomal RNA", at positions 524 to 776 of the family's 1533-position model. The record is from RNAcentral.
GACAGAGGGGGCAAGCGUUGCUCGGAAUCACUGGGCGUAAAGAGCUUGUAGGCGGUUUGUCGCGUCUGCUGUGAAAAUCCGGGGCUCAACCCCGGACUUGCAGUGGGUACGGGCAGGCUAGAGUGUGGUAGGGGAGACUGGAAUUCCUGGUGUAGCGGUGGAAUGCGCAGAUAUCAGGAGGAACACCGAUGGCGAAGGCAGGUCUCUGGGCCACUACUGACGCUGAGAAGCGAAAGCAUGGGGAGCGAACAGG